GAUCAUGGCUCAGGACGAACGCUGGCGGCGUGCCUAACACAUGCAAGUCGAGCGGGGGACAUGCGACGGAUAGGAAGUUUUCGGAUGGACUUGAAGAUGCAUCGUUCUAGCGGCGGACGGGUGAGUAACGCGUGAGCAACCUGUCCCUUACAGGGGGAUAACACAGCGAAAGUUGUACUAAUACCGCAUAAGACCACGGGAGGACAUCCUUCAGGGGUCAAAGGAGGAAUCCGGUAAGGGGUGGGCUCGCGUCCGAUCAGAUAGUUGGUGAGGUAACGGCCCACCAAGUCGACGAUCGGUAGCCGACCUGAGAGGGUGAUCGGCCACAUUGGGACUGAGACACGGCCCAACUCCUACGGGAGGCAGCAGGUGGGGAAUAUUGGGCAAUGGGGGAAACCCUGACCCAGCAACGCCGCGUGAGGGAAGAAGGUUUUCGGAUCGUAAACCUCUGUCCUUGGUGAAGAGGAAGAGACGGUAGCCAAGGAGGAAGCCCCGGCUAACUACGUGCCAGCCGCUGC
RNAcentral lists this ribosomal RNA (518 nucleotides) under uncultured bacterium. Its description in RNAcentral is "bacterial SSU rRNA". It matches the Rfam family "Bacterial small subunit ribosomal RNA", at positions 15 to 518 of the family's 1533-position model. The record is from RNAcentral.